CACGCUGUCGGUUCGCCGCCCGUCGGUGUCAACUGGCAUGUCCUGUGGAACGUCCUGCCGGUGGCGGACCGGGCUUUCGGCUUGCGUAAGGGCUUACGCCCGAAGCAGGCCGAACAGUACCGGCCGCCGGUCCAAUCCCGCCACGGUGCUCUUCACCGAGUGUCGAGGUGGGCCGGCACGUUUACUUUGAACAAAUUAGAGUGCUUAAAGCAGGCUGGUGUCCGCCUGAAUACUGUGUGCAUGGAAUAAUAGAAUAGGACCUCGGUUCUAUUUUGUUGGUUUUCGGAACCCGAGGUAAUGAUUAAUAGGGACAGGCGGGGGCAUUCGUAUUGCGACGUUAGAGGUGAAAUUCUUGGAUCGUCGCAAGACGAACCUAAGCGAAAGCAUUUGCCAAGUAUGUUCUCGUUAAUCAAGAACGAAAGUUAGAGGUUCGAAGGCGAUCAGAUACCGCCCUAGUUCUAACCAUAAACGAUGCCAGCCAGCGAUCCGCCGAAGUUCCUCCGAUGACUCGGCGGGCAGCUUCCGGGAAACCAAAGCUUUUGGGUUCCGGGGGAAGUAUGGUUGCAAAGCUGAAACUUAAAGGAAUUGACGGAAGGGCACCACCAGGAGUGGAGCCUGCGGCUUAAUUUGACUCAACACGGGAAACCUCACCAGGCCCGGACACCGGAAGGAUUGACAGAUUGAGAGCUCUUUCUUGAUUCGGUGGGUGGUGGUGCAUGGCCGUUC
Molecule: ribosomal RNA, 726 nt
Filed under: Aeneolamia albofasciata
Lineage: Eukaryota; Metazoa; Arthropoda; Insecta; Hemiptera; Cercopidae
Description: SSU rRNA
Rfam family: Eukaryotic small subunit ribosomal RNA
Source: RNAcentral